GGCCGAGUGGCGAAAUUGGCAGACGCACAGGAUUUAAAAUCCUGUGGUGGGAAACCACCGUGCGGGUUCGAGCCCCGCCUCGGCUAC
Molecule: transfer RNA, 87 nt
Filed under: Blastopirellula retiformator
Lineage: Bacteria; Pseudomonadati; Planctomycetota; Planctomycetia; Pirellulales; Pirellulaceae
Description: Planctomycetes bacterium Enr8 tRNA-Leu
Rfam family: tRNA
About the family: Transfer RNA (tRNA) molecules are approximately 80 nucleotides in length. Their secondary structure includes four short double-helical elements and three loops (D, anti-codon, and T loops).
Source: RNAcentral